UUGUAUGAUGAGAUUUUCAACAUCACAUCAGUGAUUAUUACAAAUACAUAGACAUAUAAUAUGUAAUAUGUAAUAUGUAAUAAUCACUGAUGUGAUGUUGAAAAUCUCAUCAUUAAU
Molecule: small RNA, 117 nt
Filed under: Mytilus galloprovincialis (Mediterranean mussel)
Lineage: Eukaryota; Metazoa; Mollusca; Bivalvia; Mytilida; Mytilidae
Source: RNAcentral